UUAAACCGCAUAUUUUGUCGUUACAUUAACCCCAAGAGCGUAACGCUCAUCGAGGGGGUCUAUGACUUUAAUUGGAGACAGUGGUUCAGUCAAGUAAUCUCUGUGGUAGCGNAUUAUUUAUCUGGUCUGGAGGUAAAACCUUCUACACAUUUCACCACACGACAAGUACAGUGUUUCGGCUUUCCUUCUGGACAGCAUGCAACAGGUCUUCUAUUUUCCAUUCUAUUCCAUUUGCAGUUUUCUUGAUUUCUUUGCUUUAGUAUUCACAUCAAGAAAGUGGAAAGACCACGCAAAAAAGAAUGUUUAUGACUGAAUGCCUACCAUUGUUACUCCCACUCAAGAUCACUGACUCAGAGGACUGAUCUCCCUGUGUUAUUACGAUUCCAACCAUGCUAAGACACCGGAACUAGCGGGAACAAAUACACAAGAGGGCGAUGGUUAAAUUUAUUUUUAACUGAUCUUGUACGUGCUAAANAAAGUUUCAAGAAACGGAAUGUUGACGCCACUCCGACGAUGAAAAACCAAAUGAAUUUGUUCCACACGAAUAGUGAUUGUUCGGCCUUGCUUCGUGCGAUAUUUCGUGUUUUUAGAAUCGAUCGGCUUAGGUUCCUUUAUGAUUUNCCGANUNAAGUUNAUCNGAACAAAAUAAACNNNUAAUGUAAACACUGAAACAAAUAUACCUCGAUUAUCCCCGCCUUAUCUAAGGUUUUGGGGAUAAGGUGGAACCAAACUAAUUCAGAGCAAAUUUUGGACAAUUUUAUUCUCGCUCGCUUCGCAAAACUACUGCGUCAAUCUAACUGGAUUUUCCAAAUAAUGUGCUUUGAUUAUCCUACAUUCUAACAGUGCAUUCUAUUUUAAGAUUUUUAAAGUGUUUAGCCUAUUACGGCCAAAAAUCAAACAGUGUUAUUUUGAUAGUCAAAGAACAUUAUAAGAAAAAUCCAGUUAAAUUGACGCACUAGUUUUGCGAAGGGAGCGAAAAUAAAAUUGUCCAAAAUUCGCUCUGAAUUAGUUUNGUUCCACCUUAAGUUUUAAUAAUCCAUCUUCUUAAAAUCUGGAAUCAGUUCCCGAAAUUUGACCACAUGCAAUGAGCGUCUUUGAGUGCAAUCUGGGGUUUUUUUUGUUUUUUGUUUUUUGUUUUUUGUUUUCCAAAACGAGUAAUUUAGAGCAUCGCAAUCCUUUGGUUAAUUUUUUUUUAAAAUUUGGUUUGGUUUAAUUAACUGGGCUCUAAGUGUUGGUCAUUUUCGAACUAACAAUCUAAUAGUCUAGCGCAAUCCCUCNUUAAAUCAGGUUAAACACUGGGCUAAAUAAAAUAUUUUUGUCGGGAGCAAUUUCCCGAAGCUCCAGGAUAUUUGAUUAUUUCGUGGUUUGAAUGUCUUUCAGUUGGACCCACACAAAACAUCUUUCUCUUUGAUUACAAAUUUCAAAGAUAUUUUCAUUGUGGUUUGUUUUCCUGACUAGAAUUAACUUGAGUAAGAAAAUCCCAUGUCGAAGUCAUUUGUGGUGGGUUAACUCAUUAUUAAAUAUAAUCGCGGUCCACAUAUUCUCAUAUUAAAGUUAAUCACUCAUUUA
This 1569-nucleotide long non-coding RNA is filed under the name Actinia tenebrosa (Australian red waratah sea anemone). RNAcentral describes it as "uncharacterized LOC116287258". Lineage: Eukaryota; Metazoa; Cnidaria; Anthozoa; Actiniaria; Actiniidae. The record is from RNAcentral.